UGCCAGUGAUAAACUGGAGGAAGGUGGGGAUGACGUCAAGUCAUCAUGGCCCUUACGACCAGGGCUACACACGUGCUACAAUGGCGCAUACAAAGAGAAGCGACCUCGCGAGAGCAAGCGGACCUCAUAAAGUGCGUCGUAGUCCGGAUUGGAGUCUGCAACUCGACUCCAUGAAGUCGGAAUCGCUAGUAAUCGUGGAUCAGAAUGCCACGGUGAAUACGUUCCCGGGCCUUGUACACACCGCCCGUCACACCAUGGGAGUGGGUUGCAAAAGAAGUAGGUAGCUUAACCUUCGGGAGGGCGCUUACCACUUUGUGAUUCAUGACUGGGGUGAAGUCGUAACAAGGUAACCGUAGGGGAACCUGCGGUU
Molecule: ribosomal RNA, 370 nt
Filed under: Escherichia coli
Lineage: Bacteria; Pseudomonadati; Pseudomonadota; Gammaproteobacteria; Enterobacterales; Enterobacteriaceae
Also listed under: 2 other names
Description: partial 16S ribosomal RNA
Rfam family: Bacterial small subunit ribosomal RNA
Source: RNAcentral